Molecule: ribosomal RNA, 436 nt
Filed under: uncultured bacterium
Lineage: Bacteria
Description: bacterial SSU rRNA
Rfam family: Bacterial small subunit ribosomal RNA
Source: RNAcentral
CGCGAACGGGUGAGUAACACGUGGGUAACCUACCCCAAUGACCGGGACAACUCGGGGAAACUCGAGCUAAUACCGGAUGUGUUCCUUCUCUUUGAGGAGAAGGAGCAAAGGUAGCUUCGGCCUCCGCAUUGGGAUGGGCCCGCGGCCCAUUAGCUUGUUGGUGGGGUAAUGGCCUACCAAGGCUGCGAUGGGUAGCUGGUCUGAGAGGACGAUCAGCCACACUGGGACUGAGACACGGCCCAGACUCCUACGGGAGGCAGCAGUGGGGAAUCUUGCGCAAUGCACGAAAGUGUGACGCAGCAACGCCGCGUGAGGGAAGAAGGCCUUCGGGUUGUAAACCUCUUUCAGUUGGGACGAAGCUUCGUGGGCUUAAUAGCUCACUGGAGUGACGGUACCUUCAGAAGAAGCCCCGGCUAACUACGUGCCAAGCAGCCGC